This is a non-coding RNA of Acanthosepion pharaonis, 112 nucleotides long. The record is from the annotation of a GenBank genome assembly. NCBI's taxonomy places the organism in Eukaryota, Metazoa, Mollusca, Cephalopoda, Sepiida, Sepiidae.
UACGGCCAUAUCACUUUGGAAUACCGGUUCCUGUACAAUCACUGAAGUUAAGCAACGUCGAAGCUGGUCAUUACCUAGAUGGGUGCCCGCUUGGGAAUACCAGGUGCUGUAA